Molecule: ribosomal RNA, 472 nt
Filed under: uncultured marine eukaryote
Lineage: Eukaryota
Description: SSU rRNA
Rfam family: Eukaryotic small subunit ribosomal RNA
Source: RNAcentral
GUUGCAGUUAAAAAGCUCGUAGUUGGAUUUCGGAGUGGGCCAGUUGGUCCGCCGCAAGGUGUGUUACUGACUGGUUUGCUCUUCUGCGCAAAGACUGCGUGUGCUCUUUGUUGAGUGUGCGUAGGAUUUACGUCGUUUACUUUGAAAAAAUUAGAGUGUUCAAAGCAGGCUAUUGCUUGGAUACAUGAGCAUGGAAUAAUGGAAUAGGACUUUGGUCCCAUUUUGUUGGUUUCUAGGACCGAAGUAAUGAUUAAGAGGGACAAUUGGGGGCAUCCGUAUUUCGUUGUCAGAGGUGAAAUUCUUGGAUUUGCGAAAGACGAACAACUGCGAAAGCACUUGCCAAGAGUGUUUUCAUUAAUCAAGAACGAAAGUUAGAGGAUCGAAGACGAUCAGAUACCGUCCUAGUUCUAACCAUAAACGAUGUCGACUAGGGAUCAGCGGGCGUUAUCGUACGACCCCGUUGGCACCUUAC